Molecule: long non-coding RNA, 697 nt
Organism: Pseudophryne corroboree (corroboree frog)
Lineage: Eukaryota; Metazoa; Chordata; Amphibia; Anura; Myobatrachidae
Exons: 3
Source: RefSeq, a predicted model, not a curated record
CUGAGCCCAGCCACCGAGCACCAGCACAGGCUGCUGUAUCAGGGAUAUUGACUGCACGGGGUGCUGUUACCAUACGCUGCCUGAUCGGGGUUGAGCUCCGAUCACGGCAGCCGGACCAGUGGAGGGCAUUGGAAACUCUUGGAGUAGGACAAGAAGAACUGUAACACUCUUGUUGCAUAGUACCUUACUCUCACCAUUAUCAGAUGGGUGGCCCAUGGACAGAAGCUACUACGUAGGAGGACGAAAACUGUAGUACUGUACAGUAUUAUUGAACUGCACUAUGACUAGGUAAAAAAAUUAAAUGUUUUCUGCCCUUCGGCUUUACUACAGUAUGGAAAUGGAUGUAUUACCCACAGAAAGAGCUGCAUAACAAACAAAUAUAAUAAAAGGAAACAAUGCACUGCAAUGUUCAAUUACAUUUCAUUUUACAGAACAUAAAACCAAUACUUUUCUUACAAAUACAGUCCAGUCUAAUGUCAAUGGUAUAAGCAAUGUUUAUUUCCUUACCUUUAACAAUGAGUUCUGCAUAAUUGGAAACACCUGAUCCACCAGAAGAUCGCAGGACACAGCGAUACUUGCUAAUGCUUCGCUGAGAAGUGUCUCCAACGCUAACUGUGGCAGAGAAGCGUCUGUGAUUUACUACACGAGUUACCAUGAGACCCGUGUCGCGUCCAUUCCAUUGCUGCCAAAUAGAGAU